RNAcentral lists this microRNA precursor (65 nucleotides) under Xenopus laevis (African clawed frog). RNAcentral describes it as "let-7j stem-loop (xla-let-7j)". Its record names the gene xla-let-7j. The record is from miRBase by way of RNAcentral. Lineage: Eukaryota; Metazoa; Chordata; Amphibia; Anura; Pipidae.
AUGGAGAAAUCAAUUACUUCAGACAGACUGCUUGGAUCUGGGCUGAGGUAGUUGUUUGUACAGUU